This 458-nucleotide ribosomal RNA is filed under the name uncultured bacterium. Its description in RNAcentral is "bacterial SSU rRNA". It matches the Rfam family "Bacterial small subunit ribosomal RNA", at positions 36 to 507 of the family's 1533-position model. The record is from RNAcentral.
CUGGCGGCGCGCCUAACACAUGCAAGUCGAACGAGAGAUGAGGAGCUUGCUCUUCAAAUCGAGUGGCGAACGGGUGAGUAACGCGUGAGGAACCUGCCUCAAAGAGGGGGACAACAGUUGGAAAUGACUGCUAAUACCGCAUAAGCCCACGGCUCGGCAUCGAGCAGAGGGAAAAGAUUUAUCGGUUUGGGGUGGGCUCGCGUCCGAUUAGGUAGUUGGUGAGGUAACGGCCCACCAAGCCGACGAUCGGUAGCCGACCUGAGAGGGUGAUCGGCCACAUUGGGACUGAGACACGGCCCAAACUCCUACGGGAGGCAGCAGUGGGGAAUAUUGGGCAAUGGAGGAAACUCUGACCCAGCAACGCCGCGUGGAGGAAGAAGGUUUUCGGAUCGUAAACUCCUGUCCUUGGAGACGAGUAGAAGACGGUAUCCAAGGAGGAAGCCCCGGCUAACUACGUG